GUCGCUGGUCUGAGAGGACGACCAGCCACACUGGCACUGAGAUACGGGCCAGACUCCUACGGGAGGCAGCAGUGAGGAAUAUUGCGCAAUGGGGGAAACCCUGACGCAGCAACGCCGCGUGUGGGAAGAAGGCCUUCGGGUCGUAAACCACUUUUACUCGGGACGAAAAAGGGAUAUCAAAUAAAUAUCCCCGAUGACGGUACCGUGAGAAUAAGCCACGGCUAACUCUGUGCCAGCAGCCGCGGUAAGACAGAGGUGGCAAGCGUUGUUCGGAAUUACUGGGCGUAAAGAGUCUGUAGGUGGUUUGUCAAGUCUUUGGUGAAAGGCCGUAGCUUAACUAUGGGAAUGCCAAAGAGACUGGCAGGCUGGAGGCUGGGANAGGGAAGCGGAAUUUCUGGUGUAGCGGUGAAAUGCGUAGAUAUCAGAAGGAAGGCCGGUGGCGAAGGCGGC
RNAcentral lists this ribosomal RNA (450 nucleotides) under uncultured bacterium. RNAcentral describes it as "bacterial SSU rRNA". It matches the Rfam family "Bacterial small subunit ribosomal RNA", at positions 283 to 725 of the family's 1533-position model. The record is from RNAcentral.